UACAGAGGGGGCAAUCGUUGUUCGGAAUUACUGGGCGUAAAGGGCGCGUAGGCGGCCUGUUAAGUCGAACGUGAAAUCCCCGGGCUCAACCCGGGAACUGCGUCCGAUACUGGCAGGCUUGAAUCCGGGAGAGGGAUGCGGAAUUCCAGGUGUAGCGGUGAAAUGCGUAGAUAUCUGGAGGAACACCGGUGGCGAAGGCGGCAUCCUGGACCGGCAUUGACGCUGAGGCGCGAAAGCCAGGGGAGCAAACGGG
Molecule: ribosomal RNA, 253 nt
Filed under: uncultured bacterium
Lineage: Bacteria
Description: partial 16S ribosomal RNA
Rfam family: Bacterial small subunit ribosomal RNA
Source: RNAcentral